RNAcentral lists this ribosomal RNA (225 nucleotides) under uncultured bacterium. Its description in RNAcentral is "partial 16S ribosomal RNA". It matches the Rfam family "Bacterial small subunit ribosomal RNA", at positions 328 to 539 of the family's 1533-position model. The record is from RNAcentral.
ACGCUCGACACCUACGGGAGGCAGCAGUAGGGAAUCUUCCACAAUGGGCGGCAAGCCUGAUGGAGCAACACCGCGUGAGUGAAGAAGGGUUUCGGCUCGUAAAGCUCUGUUGUUGGAGAAGAACGUGCGUGAGAGUAACUGUUCACGCAGUGACGGUAUCCAACCAAGAAAGUCACGGCUAACUACGUGCCAGAAGCCGCGGUAAUCUGAGCGGGCUGGCAAGGC